CGGAGCGAGGCCAGGGAUCAAACCCACAACCUCAUGAUUCCUAGUCGGAUUCGCUUCUGCUGAGCCACAACAGGAAGUCCUCGACACCAGAUCUUAAGCCACGGUCUGUUGCUGGCCACUUGGGUUCCUCCUAUAUCUUUCUGUUAUAAAUAAGUGCUGCAGGAGUUCUCAUUGUGGCUCCGUGGAAAAGAAUCCGACUAGUAGAGUUCCUGUUGUGGCUUGGUGGUUAUCGAGUCUGACUAGCAUCAGUGAGGAUGCAGGUUCGAUCCUUGGCUUUGCUCGUUGGGUUCACUAUCUGGCAUUGUGGUGAGCUGUGGAGUAGGUCACAGCCAUGGCUUGGAUCCUGCAUUGGUGUGGCUGUGGGGUAGUCCAGCAGCUACAGGUCCAAUUCUGUCCCUAGCCUGGGCACCUCCAUAUGCCCAAGGUGUGACCCUAAAAAGCAACAAGCAAAGCAAAACAAAACAAAACAAACAAAACAAACCAUCCGACUAGUGUCCAUGAGGAUGCAGGUUCGAUCCCUGGCCACACUUAGUGGGUCAGGGAUCCGGCAUUCCCGUGCACUAUGGUGUAGGUUGCAGAUGUGGCUUCAAUUCUGCACUGCCAUGGUUGUGGCAUAGGCCAGCAGCGGUAGCUCCAGGUCAGCCCCUAGCCUGGGAACUCACAUAUGCCUCAGGUGAGGCCCUAUCCAAGUCUCACUGGGCCCCACACACCCUCAUGCCAAAGCCACAUCCAGGGAGAGAGACGGGUCCAGGGCAGGCAGGUGAGGAUGCAGGGCAGGGCCAGGAGCAGCCCUGUUUAAUUCCAGUUCCUUUUUCUGCCACAAUGUAUUUGUUUCCCUUUGGUUCACAGCUGGGGUGAAGGGUCCAGGGUGGUUCCAGGGCUGCCUCGUGUCUGCAGAGAGACUUGAGGUAGAAGCCCAGGCUCGGGCUGGUUCCCAGAGGCUCCUGGGGGCACCUGAAGGGGAGGCUUUGCAGGAGAAAGUGGCCCGGCCCAGCCCGGGGGCGGGCAGCCUGCAGAGGGCGGUCAGGUGGUGGCCCAUCUUCCUGGUGAGUUUCACCUGCUCCCCAGGCAGCAGCUCCACGGGAAGUCAGGGAGGUGGGCGUGUGUGGGGGGGGACCCCAGGGCCUUCGGGUCCAGAGGGCCCAGUUCAGGUCUUCUCCAGCAACUCAGCAGAUUCCGUGGUGUCCUGGGUUUUCGCCCCUGCUCCUGAGGCGGCUUCUGCUCCUCCUGGAAGAGGCUGCAGCCCCCUUUUCACCAUUGCAUUUUCCGGAGAGCUCGGCACCCUCGUGCUUCUGCUCAGCAAUUCAUGGGAUAAUUGUCCACACCCUCCCGAGCUGCGUCGUCACAGUGGACAAAGAAGGCCAGCGAGAGGCAGAGAAGGAGAGAGGACAGCGCGACAGGAACAGGUAAACAUCCAGUAGCCUUGUGAUUCAUGGACCUUUUGCAGAAGGACAGACCCAGACGGACAGAGGUGAGUACAGGUGCGGUGAGGGGCUGGCAUCGUGGACCAGGGAGAGGGGAGCUGUGCCAAGGGCUGGAGCCAUCAGGGCUCCUGCCCCCCAUCCCACAGGGUCUGGGGCCCCUGCAAGUGUGCCUGGAGUCUGUCCUUCAGGCCACAGCCUUGAGGAAGGAAGGUAUGGAGACGUGGCUGUUUGGACGUGAGGGCAGCAGGAUGUGGGAAUACAGAGUGAGACGGCUCCAGCAUCAGUCUGACCACGAAGUGAUGCCUGGAUCAGUACCUGAGUGGUGUGUGUGCAUUUCUCAGGAAACCCUUAAAUGAAUCCUACAACA
This 1791-nucleotide long non-coding RNA is filed under the name Sus scrofa (pig). Its description in RNAcentral is "lncRNA (ENSSSCG00025033892.1)". Lineage: Eukaryota; Metazoa; Chordata; Mammalia; Artiodactyla; Suidae. The record is from RNAcentral.